GUCAAGGUGCCAGAGUGGUUAAUGGGCUGCCCUGCUACGAGCACCCUUCUGGGUGCGAGAGCAAGUGAGGCAGUGGCUUCGGUCGCGCAGGUUCGAAUCCUGUCCUUGACG
Molecule: transfer RNA, 111 nt
Filed under: Colletotrichum orbiculare MAFF 240422
Lineage: Eukaryota; Fungi; Ascomycota; Sordariomycetes; Glomerellales; Glomerellaceae
Description: tRNA-Ser for anticodon GCU
Rfam family: tRNA
About the family: Transfer RNA (tRNA) molecules are approximately 80 nucleotides in length. Their secondary structure includes four short double-helical elements and three loops (D, anti-codon, and T loops).
Source: RNAcentral